Non-coding RNA from Podarcis lilfordi (Lilford's wall lizard), 65 nucleotides. The record is from the annotation of a GenBank genome assembly. NCBI's taxonomy places the organism in Eukaryota, Metazoa, Chordata, Lepidosauria, Squamata, Lacertidae.
UGGAAUAGCUCAGUUGGCAGAGCAUGAGACUCUCAGGGUUGUGGGUUCCAGCCCCACCUUGUCAA